AUGGUAGGAUAGAGGCCUACCAUGGUGGUAACGGGUAACGGGGUGUUAGGGCACGACACCGGAGAGGGAGCCUGAGAAACGGCUACCACAUCCAAGGAUGGCAGCAGGCGCGCAAAUUACCCAAUCCCGACACGGGGAGGUAGUGACAAUAAAUAACAAUACGGGGUUCUUUAGGAUCUCGUAAUUGGAAUGAGUACAAUUUAAAUCUCUUAACGAGGAACAAUUGGAGGGCAAGUCUGGUGCUAGCAGCCGCGGUAAUUCCAGCUCCAAUAGCGUAUAUNAAAGUUGUUGCAGUUAAAAAGCUCGUAGCUGAAUUUCGGGGUCAGUAGGUCGGUCGUGCCACUGGUAUGAACUGGUUUUACUGAUUCCUCCCUCUUGAAGAACUGUAAUGCCAUUAAUUUGGUGUUGCAGGGAAUCAGGACUGUUACUUUGAAAAAAUUAGAGUGUUUAAAGCAGGCUUUAGCUUGAAUACAUUAGCAUGGAAUAAUGAAAUAGGACGUUUGAUCCUAUUUUGUUGGUUUCUAGGAUUGACGUAAUGAUUAAUAGGGAUAGUUGGGGGCAUUAGUAUUCAAUUGUCAGAGGUGAAAUUCUUGGAUUUAUUGAAGACUAACUACUGCGAAAGCAUUUGCCAAGGAUGUUUUCAUUAAUCAAGAACGAAAGUUAGGGGAUCGAAGACGAUCAGAUACCGUCGUAGUCUUAACCAUAAACUAUGCCGACUAGGGAUCGGAUGAUGUUAAUUUUUUAAUGACUCAUUCGGCGCCUUACGGGAAACCAAAGUGUUUGGG
Molecule: ribosomal RNA, 785 nt
Filed under: uncultured Glomus
Lineage: Eukaryota; Fungi; Glomeromycota; Glomeromycetes; Glomerales; Glomeraceae
Description: SSU rRNA
Rfam family: Eukaryotic small subunit ribosomal RNA
Source: RNAcentral